CUACGGAGGGUCCGAGCGUUAAUCGGAAUUACUGGGCGUAAAGCGCGCGUAGGUGGAUGUAUAAGUCAGAUGUGAAAGCCCUAGGCUCAACCUAGGAACUGCAUUUGAAACUGUACGUCUAGAGUAUGGUAGAGGUGAGUGGAAUUUCAGGUGUAGCGGUGAAAUGCGUAGAGAUCUGAAGGAACAUCAGUGGCGAAGGCGACUCACUGGGCCAUUACUGACACUGAGGUGCGAAAGCGUGGGUAGCAAACAGGAUUAGAUACCCUAGUAGUCC
This 274-nucleotide ribosomal RNA is filed under the name uncultured bacterium. RNAcentral's name for it is "partial 16S ribosomal RNA". It matches the Rfam family "Bacterial small subunit ribosomal RNA", at positions 523 to 796 of the family's 1533-position model. The record is from RNAcentral.